This 3028-nucleotide ribosomal RNA is filed under the name Salmonella enterica subsp. enterica. RNAcentral describes it as "bacterial LSU rRNA". It matches the Rfam family "Bacterial large subunit ribosomal RNA". The record is from RNAcentral. RNAcentral also lists the same sequence under 2 other names. Lineage: Bacteria; Pseudomonadati; Pseudomonadota; Gammaproteobacteria; Enterobacterales; Enterobacteriaceae.
GGGUUGUGAGGUUAAGCGACUAAGCGUACACGGUGGAUGCCCUGGCAGUCAGAGGCGAUGAAGGGCGUGCUAAUCUGCGAUAAGCGCCGGUAAGGUGAUAUGAACCGUUAUAACCGGCGAUACCCGAAUGGGGAAACCCAGUGUGACUCGUCACACUAUCAUUAACUGAAUCCAUAGGUUAAUGAGGCGAACCGGGGGAACUGAAACAUCUAAGUACCCCGAGGAAAAGAAAUCAACCGAGAUUCCCCCAGUAGCGGCGAGCGAACGGGGAGGAGCCCAGAGCCUGAAUCAGCAUGUGUGUUAGUGGAAGCGUCUGGAAAGGCGCGCGAUACAGGGUGACAGCCCCGUACACAAAAGCGCACAUGCUGUGAGCUCGAUGAGUAGGGCGGGACACGUGGUAUCCUGUCUGAAUAUGGGGGGACCAUCCUCCAAGGCUAAAUACUCCUGACUGACCGAUAGUGAACCAGUACCGUGAGGGAAAGGCGAAAAGAACCCCGGCGAGGGGAGUGAAAAAGAACCUGAAACCGUGUACGUACAAGCAGUGGGAGCCCCACCACUAAGCCAGUGGUGAACUCCACAUACGCAUCCUUUGCUGAGGAUGCGGUUAACGGAGCGAAAGCGACGUUCAACCGCAAAAGAAGCAGAGGGGGCUUAGUGGUGGGGUGACUGCGUACCUUUUGUAUAAUGGGUCAGCGACUUAUAUUCUGUAGCAAGGUUAACCGUAUAGGGGAGCCGGAGGGAAACCGAGUCUUAAUUGGGCGUUAAGUUGCAGGGUAUAGACCCGAAACCCGGUGAUCUAGCCAUGGGCAGGUUGAAGGUUGGGUAACACUAACUGGAGGACCGAACCGACUAAUGUUGAAAAAUUAGCGGAUGACCUGUGGCUGGGGGUGAAAGGCCAAUCAAACCGGGAGAUAGCUGGUUCUCCCCGAAAGCUAUUUAGGUAGCGCCUCGUGAAUUCAUCUCCGGGGGUAGAGCACUGUUUCGGCUAGGGGGCCAUCCCGGCUUACCAACCCGAUGCAAACUGCGAAUACCGGAGAAUGUUAUCACGGGAGACACACGGCGGGUGCUAACGUCCGUCGUGAAGAGGGAAACAACCCAGACCGCCAGCUAAGGUCCCAAAGUCAUGGUUAAGUGGGAAACGAUGUGGGAAGGCCCAGACAGCCAGGAUGUUGGCUUAGAAGCAGCCAUCAUUUAAAGAAAGCGUAAUAGCUCACUGGUCGAGUCGGCCUGCGCGGAAGAUGUAACGGGGCUAAACCAUGCACCGAAGCUGCGGCAGCGACACUCAGGUGUCGUUGGGUAGGGGAGCGUUCUGUAAGCCUGCGAAGGUGGCCUGUGAGGGUUGCUGGAGGUAUCAGAAGUGCGAAUGCUGACAUAAGUAACGAUAAAGCGGGUGAAAAGCCCGCUCGCCGGAAGACCAAGGGUUCCUGUCCAACGUUAAUCGGGGCAGGGUGAGUCGACCCCUAAGGCGAGGCCGAAAGGCGUAGUCGAUGGGAAACGGGUUAAUAUUCCCGUACUUGGUGUUACUGCGAAGGGGGGACGGAGAAGGCUAUGUUGGCCGGGCGACGGUUGUCCCGGUUUAAGCGUGUAGGUGUGUGUUCCAGGUAAAUCCGGUUCACUUUAACACUGAGGCGUGACGACGAGGCACUACGGUGCUGAAGCAACAAAUGCCCUGCUUCCAGGAAAAGCCUCUAAGCAUCAGGUAACAUCAAAUCGUACCCCAAACCGACACAGGUGGUCAGGUAGAGAAUACCAAGGCGCUUGAGAGAACUCGGGUGAAGGAACUAGGCAAAAUGGUGCCGUAACUUCGGGAGAAGGCACGCUGACACGUAGGUGAAGUGAUUUACUCAUGGAGCUGAAGUCAGUCGAAGAUACCAGCUGGCUGCAACUGUUUAUUAAAAACACAGCACUGUGCAAACACGAAAGUGGACGUAUACGGUGUGACGCCUGCCCGGUGCCGGAAGGUUAAUUGAUGGGGUCAGCGCAAGCGAAGCUCCUGAUCGAAGCCCCGGUAAACGGCGGCCGUAACUAUAACGGUCCUAAGGUAGCGAAAUUCCUUGUCGGGUAAGUUCCGACCUGCACGAAUGGCGUAAUGAUGGCCAGGCUGUCUCCACCCGAGACUCAGUGAAAUUGAACUCGCUGUGAAGAUGCAGUGUACCCGCGGCAAGACGGAAAGACCCCGUGAACCUUUACUAUAGCUUGACACUGAACAUUGAGCCUUGAUGUGUAGGAUAGGUGGGAGGCUUUGAAGUGUGGACGCCAGUCUGCAUGGAGCCGGCCUUGAAAUACCACCCUUUAAUGUUUGAUGUUCUAACGUGGACCCGUGAUCCGGGUUGCGGACAGUGUCUGGUGGGUAGUUUGACUGGGGCGGUCUCCUCCUAAAGAGUAACGGAGGAGCACGAAGGUUGGCUAAUCCUGGUCGGACAUCAGGAGGUUAGUGCAAUGGCAUAAGCCAGCUUGACUGCGAGCGUGACGGCGCGAGCAGGUGCGAAAGCAGGUCAUAGUGAUCCGGUGGUUCUGAAUGGAAGGGCCAUCGCUCAACGGAUAAAAGGUACUCCGGGGAUAACAGGCUGAUACCGCCCAAGAGUUCAUAUCGACGGCGGUGUUUGGCACCUCGAUGUCGGCUCAUCACAUCCUGGGGCUGAAGUAGGUCCCAAGGGUAUGGCUGUUCGCCAUUUAAAGUGGUACGCGAGCUGGGUUUAGAACGUCGUGAGACAGUUCGGUCCCUAUCUGCCGUGGGCGCUGGAGAACUGAGGGGGGCUGCUCCUAGUACGAGAGGACCGGAGUGGACGCAUCACUGGUGUUCGGGUUGUCAUGCCAAUGGCACUGCCCGGUAGCUAAAUGCGGAAGAGAUAAGUGCUGAAAGCAUCUAAGCACGAAACUUGCCCCGAGAUGAGUUCUCCCUGAGACUUUAGGUCUCCUGAAGGAACGUUGAAGACGACGACGUUGAUAGGCCGGGUGUGUAAGCGCAGCGAUGCGUUGAGCUAACCGGUACUAAUGAACCGUGAGGCUUAACCUUACAACGCCGAAG